RNAcentral lists this ribosomal RNA (408 nucleotides) under uncultured Cenococcum. RNAcentral describes it as "eukaryotic LSU rRNA". It matches the Rfam family "Eukaryotic large subunit ribosomal RNA", at positions 1 to 405 of the family's 3401-position model. The record is from RNAcentral. Lineage: Eukaryota; Fungi; Ascomycota; Dothideomycetes; Gloniales; Gloniaceae.
UUGACCUCGGAUCAGGCAGGGAUACCCGCUGAACUUAAGCAUAUCAAUAAGCGGAGGAAAAGAAACCAACAGGGAUUGCCUCAGUAACGGCGAGUGAAGCGGCAACAGCUCAAAUUUGAAAUCUGGCUCUUUUAGGGUCCGAGUUGUAAUUUGUAGAGGAUGCUUCGGCGUCGGCUCCGGUCUAAGUUCCUUGGAACAGGACGUCAUAGAGGGUGAGAAUCCCGUAUGUGAUCGGUUGCCCUUGCCAUGUGAAGCUCCUUCGACGAGUCGAGUUGUUUGGGAAUGCAGCUCUAAAUGGGAGGUAAAUUUCUUCUAAAGCUAAAUACUGGCCAGAGACCGAUAGCGCACAAGUAGAGUGAUCGAAAGAUGAAAAGCACUUUGGAAAGAGAGUCAAAAAGUACGUGAAAU